CCUACGGGAGGCAGCAGUGGGGAAUUUUGGACAAUGGGCGAAAGCCUGAUCCAGCAAUGCCGCGUGAGUGAAGAAGGCCUUCGGGUUGUAAAGCUCUUUUGUCAGGGAAGAAACGGUGAGAGCUAAUAUCUCUUGCUAAUGACGGUACCCGAAGAAUAAGCACCGGCUAACUACGUGCCAGCAGCCGCGGUAAUACGUAGGGUGCAAGCGUUAAUCGGAAUUACUGGGCGUAAAGCGUGCGCAGGCGGUUUUGUAAGUCUGUCGUGAAAUCCCCGGGCUCAACCUGGGAAUUGCGAUGGAGACUGCAAGGCUAGAAUCUGGCAGAGGGGGGUAGAAUUCCACGUGUAGCAGUGAGAUGCGUAGAGAUGUGGAGGAACACCGAUGGCGAAGGCAGCCCCCUGGGUCAAGAUUGACGCUCAUGCACGAAAGCGUGGGGAGCAAACAGGAUUAGAUACCCUGGUAGUCCACGCCCUAAACGAUGUCUACUAGUUGUCGGGUUUUAAUUAACUUGGUAACGCAGCUAACGCGUGAAGUAGACCGCCUGGGGAGUCGGUCGCAAGAUUAAAACUCAAAUGAAUUGACGGCUGAGAGNGCGAGACGACGACGAGGGAGGAGG
This 616-nucleotide ribosomal RNA is filed under the name uncultured bacterium. RNAcentral describes it as "bacterial SSU rRNA". It matches the Rfam family "Bacterial small subunit ribosomal RNA", at positions 338 to 948 of the family's 1533-position model. The record is from RNAcentral.